UUCUUUGGAGAGUUUGAUCCUGGCUCAGGACGAACGCUGGCGGCGUGCCUAAUACAUGCAAGUCGAGCGGACUGGAUUGGAGCUUGCUCUGAUUCGGUCAGCGGCGGACGGGUGAGUAACACGUGGGCAACCUGCCCGCAAGACCGGGAUAACUCCGGGAAACCGGAGCUAAUACCGGAUAACACCGAAGACCGCAUGGUCUUUGGUUGAAAGGCGGCGCAAGCUGUCACUUGCGGAUGGGCCCGCGGCGCAUUAGCUAGUUGGUGAGGUAACGGCUCACCAAGGCGACGAUGCGUAGCCGGCCUGAGAGGGUGACCGGCCACACUGGGACUGAGACACGGCCCAGACUCCUACGGGAGGCAGCAGUAGGGAAUCUUCCGCAAUGGGCGAAAGCCUGACGGAGCGACGCCGCGUGAGCGAAGAAGGCCUUCGGGUCGUAAAGCUCUGUUGUGAGGGACGAAGGAGCGCCGUUCGAAGAGGGCGGCGCGGUGACGGUACCUCACGAGGAAGCCCCGGCUAACUACGUGCCAGCAGCCGCGGUAAUACGUAGGGGGCGAGCGUUGUCCGGAAUUAUUGGGCGUAAAGCGCGCGCAGGCGGUUCCUUAAGUAUGAUGUGAAAGCCCACGGCUCAACCGUGGAGGGGCCUUGGAAACUGGKGGAC
RNAcentral lists this ribosomal RNA (661 nucleotides) under Geobacillus sp. LEMMY01. RNAcentral's name for it is "bacterial SSU rRNA". It matches the Rfam family "Bacterial small subunit ribosomal RNA", at positions 1 to 641 of the family's 1533-position model. Lineage: Bacteria; Bacillati; Bacillota; Bacilli; Caryophanales; Anoxybacillaceae. The record is from RNAcentral.